GUCUCUGUGGCGCAAUUGGGACAGUGCGUUCCGCUGUUAACCGAAAGGUUGGUGGUUCGAGCCCACCCAGGGACG
Non-coding RNA from Nothobranchius furzeri (turquoise killifish), 75 nucleotides. The record is from the annotation of a RefSeq genome assembly. Lineage: Eukaryota; Metazoa; Chordata; Actinopteri; Cyprinodontiformes; Nothobranchiidae.